RNAcentral lists this ribosomal RNA (466 nucleotides) under uncultured bacterium. RNAcentral's name for it is "partial 16S ribosomal RNA". It matches the Rfam family "Bacterial small subunit ribosomal RNA", at positions 28 to 507 of the family's 1533-position model. The record is from RNAcentral.
GAUGAACGCUGGCGGCGUGCUUAACACAUGCAAGUCGAACGGAAAGGCCCCAGCUUGCUGUGGUGCUCGAGUGGCGAACGGGUGAGUAACACGUGGGUGAUCUGCCCUGUACUUCGGGAUAAGCUCGGGAAACUGGGUCUAAUACCGGAUAGGAAUCCCAGGUGGGUGGGUGGUUGGGAAGCUUUUGCGGUUUGGGAUGUGCACGCGGCCUAUCAGCUUGUUGGUGGGGUAUUGGCCUACCAAGGCGUUGACGGGUAGCCGGCCUGAGAGGGUGUACGGCCACAUUGGGACUGAGGUACGGCCCAGACUCCUACGGGAGGCAGCAGUAGGGAAUAUUGCACAAUGGGCGGAAGCCUGAUGCAGCGACGCCGCGUGGGGGAUGACGGCCUUCGGGUUGUAAACUGCUUUCGUCAGUGACGAAGCGAAAGUGACGGUACCUGGUAAAGAAGCACCGGCUAACUACGUG